AACGAACGCUGGCGGCAGGCUUAACACAUGCAAGUCGAGCGCCCCGCAAGGGGAGCGGCAGACGGGUGAGUAACACGUGGGAACAUACCCUUUACUACGGAACAACUCCGGGAAACUGGAGCUAAUACCGUAUGUGCCCUUUGGGGGAAAGAUUUAUCGGUAAAGGAUUGGCCCGCGUUGGAUUAGCUAGUUGGUGGGGUAAAGGCCUACCAAGGCGACGAUCCAUAGCUGGUCUGAGAGGAUGAUCAGCCACAUUGGGACUGAGACACGGCCCAAACUCCUACGGGAGGCGGCAGUGGGGAAUAUUGGACAAUGGGCGCAAGCCUGAUCCAGCCAUGCCGCGUGAGUGAUGAAGGCCUUAGGGUUGUAAAGCUCUUUCACCGAUGAAGAUAAUGACGGUAGUCGGAGAAGAAGCCCCGGCUAACUUCGUGCCAGCCGCCGCCGUAA
This 447-nucleotide ribosomal RNA is filed under the name uncultured bacterium. RNAcentral's name for it is "partial 16S ribosomal RNA". It matches the Rfam family "Bacterial small subunit ribosomal RNA", at positions 29 to 523 of the family's 1533-position model. The record is from RNAcentral.